GUGCUCGCUUCGGCAGCACAUAUACUAAAACUGGAAAGAUACAGAGAAGAUUAGCAUGGCCCCUGCACAAGAAUGACAUGCAAAUUUGUGAAGCGUUCCAUAUUUUU
This 107-nucleotide small nuclear RNA is filed under the name Physeter macrocephalus (sperm whale). Lineage: Eukaryota; Metazoa; Chordata; Mammalia; Artiodactyla; Physeteridae. The record is from RNAcentral.